Molecule: transfer RNA, 68 nt
Filed under: Opecarcinus hypostegus
Lineage: Eukaryota; Metazoa; Arthropoda; Malacostraca; Decapoda; Cryptochiridae
Description: tRNA-Thr
Rfam family: tRNA
About the family: Transfer RNA (tRNA) molecules are approximately 80 nucleotides in length. Their secondary structure includes four short double-helical elements and three loops (D, anti-codon, and T loops).
Source: RNAcentral
GUUUUAAUAGUUUAACGCCUAAAACCUUGGUCUUGUAAACCAAUAAUGAAUUUUUAUUCUUGAAACAC